RNAcentral lists this ribosomal RNA (420 nucleotides) under uncultured bacterium. RNAcentral's name for it is "bacterial SSU rRNA". It matches the Rfam family "Bacterial small subunit ribosomal RNA", at positions 356 to 773 of the family's 1533-position model. The record is from RNAcentral.
GAGGAAUAUUGGUCAAUGGGCGCAAGCCUGAACCAGCCAUGUCGCGUGCAGGAAGACUGCCCUAUGGGUUGUAAACUGCUUUUAUAGUAGAAGAAACACAUCUACGUGUAGAUGUCUGCCAGUAUACUAUGAAUAAGCAUCGGCUAACUCCGUGCCAGCAGCCGCGGUAAUACGGAGGAUGCAAGCGUUAUCCGGAUUUAUUGGGUUUAAAGGGUGCGUAGGCGGGACUGUAAGUCAGGGGUGAAAUACUGCAGCUUAACUGUAGCAUUGCCUUUGAAACUGUGGUUCUUGAGUACGGUUGAGGUAGGCGGAAUGUGGUGUGUAGCGGUGAAAUGCAUAGAUAUACCACAGAACGCCGAUUGCGAAGGCAGCUUACUAAGCUGUUACUGACGCUGAGGCACGAAAGCGUGGGGAUCAAAC